UGUGUGCACAUGAUCAUACAAAUAUGAUGUGCAUCUAAUCAUAUUAGAUCAACAUAUAAGUUUGUUUCAGAUCUGAACCUACUUUUAUAUAGCAUAUAAAAUAAUUAAUUUAAAUUUGAAAUAAUAUAAAAAUUUAUUCUAAACAUAUGUAUGAUUGUAUAAAAAAAUUUUGAUUAGAGAUGUGAUCAACAUGUAUCGAUAUUAUAUCGAAAUC
RNAcentral lists this long non-coding RNA (214 nucleotides) under Elaeis guineensis (African oil palm). RNAcentral's name for it is "long non-coding RNA (EGUI_LNC040491)". Lineage: Eukaryota; Viridiplantae; Streptophyta; Magnoliopsida; Arecales; Arecaceae. The record is from RNAcentral.